This 1947-nucleotide ribosomal RNA is filed under the name Triticum aestivum (bread wheat). RNAcentral describes it as "partial small subunit ribosomal RNA". The record is from RNAcentral. Lineage: Eukaryota; Viridiplantae; Streptophyta; Magnoliopsida; Poales; Poaceae.
CGUCGACUACACGGAGACGUUCAGUCCUGUGGUGAACUCCUCCCUUGCUCAUCUUCCCCGGAUCCACAUGUUCAUGAUGAACAUCGUGAAAAUGCGCAAGAAACUACAAAGUUUGAGUUUAAUAGGGUUGAUUUCUCUCCAAGGAUGAAGGACAUUGUAGAGAAACUGCAGCUUAUGCGUGGUGAGGUUACCAAGCUUCUGCAUGGUUGUGACCCUAGAAUUGUCCCAAACAUUGCUCAGAGUCGUCCCGUUACCAAAGGUCGGAUUGAUGAGCCAAAACUAUACGGGAGGGACCCUAUCAUCAAUAGAAUCAUACAUGACAUCACCAGUGGUCAGUACCGUCACAAGGGUCUAACUGUGAUUCCGGUUGUCAGUCCGGCGGGAAUGGGGAAGACUACACUGAUACAACACAUUUAUCGCAGCCCACAAGUGCAGGAUCAUUUUCCCGUCAUGAUUUGGAUAUGUGUGUCACUCGGUUUCAAUCUGGAUAAGGUGCUAGAGCAGAUUAAAACAUGCACCCCUGCAGUUGAAAAGGAAAAAAUUGGCAGUACAACUGAAGAUUUGAUUGAGCAAAGAUUAAGAUCUAAAAAGUUCUUACUUGUAUUGGAUGAUAUAUGGAAGAUUAGUAAUGGAGAUGACUGGGGAAAAUUAUUGUCGACACUCAAUAAAUCAGAGGAAAAGGGUUCCAUGAUUCUCGUCACAACUCGAUUUCAAGCAAUAGCACAGAAGGUUGAAACAACGGGCCACUCAAUAAAGCUCAAUGGUUUAGAAUAUGAAGAGUUUAGAAAGUUAUUCCUUGCAUUUGUCUUUGGUGAUGAGCAAUAUCCAAGGGAGAAACAGUUUUUGCUUGAGACUGCAGAUAAGAUAAUGGAAAAACUAAAGGGCUCCCCUCUUGCAGCAAAAACAGUUGGUAGAUUACUAAGUAAAGAUCUUAGUUUGGGUCAUUGGAAAAGGGUCCUAAAAAGUGAAGGAUGGGAGAAGCAGAGUCAUGACAAUGAAAUUAUGCCUGCCUUGAAGCUUAGCUAUGACUUUCUCCCUUUUCAUCUACGACAAUGUUUUUCCUAUUCUGGAUUGUUUCCUGAAGAUUACAAUUUCAGAAGUGACGAGCUGAUCAUUCUAUGGAUCGGACUAUAUAUUGUGAUACCCAAUGGCCAAAACCAAACAUUUGAAAACAUAGGUCUGAGCAAUUUAAAUGAGUUAGUCACCCAUGGAUUUUUCAGAGAAGAAAGUAGUUUGUAUGAUCUGCGUUAUGUUAUGCAUGACCUACUGCAUGAUUUGGCAUUGAAAAUUGCAUCUCAUGAUUGUCUUAGUUUAAGUCUCCCUAGUGUUGGAUCAGUAGAGAUUCAGCCAACCACCAGUCACUUGUCUAUGAGCACAUAUGGUUUAGGUAAAUAUGAUGCAGUGUCUGGUAAAAAAUUGAAGAGUGAAUUGGAAGAACUUAAGACAAGAUUUAAGGUCGAACAUUUGCAAACAUGGAUGUUAUUUGGAAAAAUGGAUGAAGGUUUUGUCAAGAUAUUUGGUGAUUUUUUUGGGGAAGCAAUCACUCUUCGUGUUCUUCAUUUGCCCAUCAUGCUUUGUCCCGUGGAGUCUAUGUUACAUAACUUUCCAGGAUUGGUCCACCUACGAUACCUAUGUCUAGGGACAAGUAAGAGCCAGAUGCAUUUACCACCGAACAUCUCUAAAUUUUAUCAUUUAAGGGUUCUAGAUCUUGAAUUGUGGAAUGGCAGUCGUGAUUUUCCCAAAGACAUGAGCAACCUUGCCAAAUUGUGCCAUUUUUAUGUCCCAAGUGAUGAUCAACUUCAUUCUGAGAUUUAUAAUGUGGGUAAACUUAAACUCUUAGAAGAGUUAAAGGUAUUUCAAGUCAAUAAAAAUAGUGAAGGGUUUGAACCAAAGCAACUAAAGCACUUGACCAAGCUAAGGGAGCUCGAAUCCUUGACAGCAACAUGA